Molecule: ribosomal RNA, 529 nt
Filed under: uncultured bacterium
Lineage: Bacteria
Description: bacterial SSU rRNA
Rfam family: Bacterial small subunit ribosomal RNA
Source: RNAcentral
AGAGUUUGAUCCUGGCUCAGAUUGAACGCUGGCGGUAUGCUUAACACAUGCAAGUCGAACGGUAACAGAGGAAAGCUUGCUUUCUUGCUGACGAGUGGCGGACGGGUGAGUAACGCGUGGGAAUCUACCUAGUAGUGGGGGAUAGCCAGAAGAAAUUCUGAAUAAUACCGCAUACGCCCUACGGGGGAAAGAGGCCCUCUUCUUGAAAGGUCUCACUAUUAGAUGAGCCCGCGUUAGAUUAGCUAGAUGGUGAGGUAAGAGCUCACCAUGGCGACGAUCUAUAGCUGGUCUGAGAGGAUGAUCAGCCACAUUGGGACUGAGACACGGCCCAGACUCCUACGGGAGGCAGCAGUGGGGAAUAUUGGACAAUGGGCGCAAGCCUGAUCCAGCAAUACCGCGUGUGUGAAGAAGGCCCUAGGGUUGUAAAGCACUUUUAUGAGUGAAGAAAGGUUAAGGGUUAAUACCUCUUGAUUUUGACGGUAACUCACGAAUAAGCACCGGCUAACUCCGUGCCAGCAGCCGCGGUAAU